GAUGAACGCUGGCGGCGUGCCUAAUACAUGCAAGUCGAGCGAAUAGAUGAGGAGCUUGCUCCUCUGACGUUAGCGGCGGACGGGUGAGUAACACGUGGAUAACCUACCUAUAAGACUGGGAUAACUUCGGGAAACCGGAGCUAAUACCGGAUAAUAUAUUGAACCGCAUGGUUCAAUAGUGAAAGACGGUUUUGCUGUCACUUAUAGAUGGAUCCGCGCCGCAUUAGCUAGUUGGUAAGGUAACGGCUUACCAAGGCAACGAUGCGUAGCCGACCUGAGAGGGUGAUCGGCCACACUGGAACUGAGACACGGUCCAGACUCCUACGGGAGGCAGCAGUAGGGAAUCUUCCGCAAUGGGCGAAAGCCUGACGGAGCAACGCCGCGUGAGUGAUGAAGGUCUUCGGAUCGUAAAACUCUGUUAUUAGGGAAGAACAAAUGUGUAAGUAACUAUGCACGUCUUGACGGUACCUAAUCAGAAAGCCACGGCUAACUACGCG
Molecule: ribosomal RNA, 497 nt
Filed under: uncultured bacterium
Lineage: Bacteria
Description: partial 16S ribosomal RNA
Rfam family: Bacterial small subunit ribosomal RNA
Source: RNAcentral